CUUGCUCCAUGAUUCAGCGGCGGACGGGUGCCCUAAUGCCUAGGAAUCUGCCUGGUAGUGGGGGACAACGUUUCGAAAGGAACGCUAAUACCGCAUACGUCCUACGGGAGAAAGUGGGGGAUCUUCGGACCUUGCGCUAUCAGAUGAGCCUAGGUCGGAUUAGCUAGUUGGUGAGGUAAAGGCUCACCAAGGCGACGAUCCGUAACUGGUCUGAGAGGAUGAUCAGUCACACUGGAACUGAGACACGGUCCAGACUCCUACGGGAGGCAGCAGUGGGGAAUAUUGGACAAUGGGCGAAAGCCUGAUCCAGCCAUGCCGCGUGUGUGAAGAAGGUCUUCGGAUUGUAAAGCACUUUAAGUUGGGAGGAAGGGCAGUAAGUUAAUACCUUGCUGUUUUGACGUUACCGACAGAAUAAGCACCGGCUAACUUCGUGCCAGCAGCCGCGGUAAUACAAGGGUGCAAGCGUUAAUCGGAAUUACUGGGCGUAAAGCGCGCGUAGGUGGUUCGUUAAGUUGGAUGUGAAAGCCCCGGGCUCAACCUGGGAACUGCAUCCAAAACUGGCGAGCUAGAGUAUGGCAGAGGGUGGUGGAAUUUCCUGUGUAGCGGUGAAAUGCGUAGAUAUAGGAAGGAACACCAGUGGCGAAGGCGACCA
RNAcentral lists this ribosomal RNA (652 nucleotides) under Stutzerimonas sp. RNAcentral's name for it is "bacterial SSU rRNA". It matches the Rfam family "Bacterial small subunit ribosomal RNA", at positions 79 to 727 of the family's 1533-position model. Lineage: Bacteria; Pseudomonadati; Pseudomonadota; Gammaproteobacteria; Pseudomonadales; Pseudomonadaceae. The record is from RNAcentral.